This is a non-coding RNA of Ciona intestinalis (vase tunicate), 414 nucleotides long. NCBI's taxonomy places the organism in Eukaryota, Metazoa, Chordata, Ascidiacea, Phlebobranchia, Cionidae. The record is from RefSeq and is a predicted model, not a curated record.
CGACUUAAGAAAAUGGUUGCACUGUCCAUAAAAAGACAUUGUUUGUAUUAUGAGAAUAUUUGUAGUGCAUGAAACAUAACCCGCUUCCCAUAAUUCAAAAACUAUAUAGGAAAUUACUUCAAGUUGAAUAACUUCCACAUUUCAAACAAAACGCUGGCAGCAUUCAGUCUCAAAUCCCUUCUACUUUAGUAAACAAAAUGAUUAAUUAUAAAUCACUGCUCGUUUCAACGUUGCUCGUCAUCGGAAUGGUGAUUCUUACCGAGAGUUAUGCAGUGGCUGCAGUUGCAUCAAAUCUUUCGAGACAAGGUUAUUUUACAUCCUCGGUUUCUAAUAACCAAAGGUCAAACCUUAAUAGUGGUAAUAAAGACAAACUGUUUAAAGAUAUAUUGGUGGGAAAAUUUAUGUAAUGUAUAU